This is a long non-coding RNA of Labrus mixtus (cuckoo wrasse), 646 nucleotides long. RefSeq lists it as uncharacterized. The record is from RefSeq and is a predicted model, not a curated record. Lineage: Eukaryota; Metazoa; Chordata; Actinopteri; Labriformes; Labridae. The transcript is spliced from 6 exons.
CAGAGAGACAGACAGGUAGAGACAGAGAGACAGGUAAAGAACGAAAGAGAGACAGACAGGUAGAGAGACAGAGAGGCAGACAGGUAGAGACAGAGAGACAGACAGGUAGAGACAGAGAGACAGGUAAAGAACGAAAGAGAGACAGACAGGUAGAGAGACAGAGAGACAGACAGGUAGAGACAGAGAGACAGACAGGUAGAGACAGAGAGACAGGUAAAGAAUGAAAGAGCGACAGACAGGUAGAGACAGAGAGACAGGUAAAGAACGAAAGAGAGACAGACAGGUAGAGAGACAGAGAGACAGACAGGUAGAGACAGAGAGACAGACAGGUAGAGACAGAGAGACAGGUAAAUAAUGAAAGAGAGACAGACAGGUUGAGACAGAGAGACAGGUAAAGAACGAAAGAGAGACAGACAGGUAGAGAGACAGAGAGACAGACAGGUAGAGACAGAGAGACAGACAGGUAGAGACAGAGAGACAGGUAAAGAACGAAAGAGAGACAGACAGGUAGAGACAGGUAAAGAACGAAAGAGAGACAGACAGGUAGAGACAGAGAGACAGACAGGUAGAGACACGUAAAGAACGAAAGAGAGACAGACAGGUAGAGACAGAGAGACAGACAGACAAACAGGGAGAGAGACAGACA